This 199-nucleotide unclassified non-coding RNA is filed under the name uncultured Clavulinaceae. RNAcentral describes it as "sequence contains ITS1". Lineage: Eukaryota; Fungi; Basidiomycota; Agaricomycetes; Cantharellales; Hydnaceae. The record is from RNAcentral.
AUGAAUUGUAAUGGGGGGUUUGAUGCUGGCAUGGCUGCAUGUGCUCAUCUCCCGACAAUCUUUAUCCACACACCUGUGCAUCUUCUGAGGGUUUUCGAGUAGAGAUUGCCAUCCAGUGAUCUUUCUCGGAUUCCCUCUUUACAUACGCGUAUUACAGUAAUGUUGAACGUGCUCGUGCCGAUGUGGCCGUAAUAAAAUA